UUAAUUUGGGCACUUUCGCUUUACUUUUAAAUCAAAAAGGGGCUCCGGGGCGUGACAGAUCACCGGAACCCUAAUUUCAAUCUCCAUAAAAUUUUUAAAAAGUGAGAGAAAAAAAUUUAAAAAAUUACAAAAUAUGAACUAUUCUUUUACACCAAAAAAGCAGAGUAUGAAGAGAUCUUAUUUUACUCAUUUUUUCUUAUGAAAGUGAUUUGUUUAAAUGAUAAUGAACUUUGUGAAUACAUUAAUUGAGAGGUGGGCGGCUGGGAAGAUAAAGUAUUUGUCAAAGAAGAGGUGGGAACGCGAAGCAUUAGGGAGUAGGAAUGGGUGAGAAGGCAAGAGUGAAGAAGGAAUUGCCGCGUGACAAAUUUUAUGAAGAAUGAUGUGUGUAUAUAUAUAGAGAGAGAGAGAGAGAGAGUAGGGUUACUAUGCUCUUAUGAAUAUAAAUUCCUUCAUACUUAUAAGUUGUUUUGAUGAAUUGAGCUUCCGAAUUGACGGUUCAUACCAUUAAAUAUAAUUUAGAGUAUUUGAAGCUUUUAGAAAAUAAAUUUCGUAGUUUUUCAAAAUUAUAUUAAAAUUCAUCAAGCGGCAUAAAAUAAAUGGUCAAAAUUGAAAAACCUCCUAAAAUAGAUGAUUGAAUUCUUCAAUUUAAUAUCAGAGUUAUUGAUCUUUAUUUAGAUAAUAAAUAAAAUUUUUUUAUAAAAAAUUCAAUUAAUUCUAAUUCUUUUACACCGUUAAAUUAACAAAUAUCUCAUAACGACCGUUAAAAAUUAUCAAUUUUAAGAUCUUUUGGUUGUAAGGUAAAUGAUAUUAAAAAAUUAUAAAAUUUGAUUUUUAGAAGUUUUAAAUGCACUAAACCAUAUUUAACGGUGUGGAUUGUCGAUUCGGAAGCUCUACCACCGAAAAUAAUUUUUGAGUACGAAUGCGAUCGUACUCAUAAGAGUAUAGUAGCCAGACUCUCUAUAUAUAAAACUAGUCAACUAUACUAUUAAUAGUACCAAAUCAUAGGUGCUAUUAGAUUUUUGGCCCUUAGAUGAAGGGAUGUGUGGCUAAGAUGAUAAUGGUCCUGUAGGGUUGAAUGGGUGGUUGAUUGAAUAGUUUUAUCUAACAGAUAAAAAUGGUCAAAAGGUUAAGAUCUAACGGCGAAAAAUUUGAUAGCUAUGAGGAUUGGGAUUUUUCUUAUAAAAAUUUGACAUCUUUUUAAAUGUUAUCGUGUGUAAUUUAAUUUUAAAUUACCCGUCAAAUUUUAGGAAAAAAUGAUUUAAAAUAAGGAUUUUACGCUAUUAUUACUUUUCACUUAAAGUGAAUAGUAACUCGUAUUUUCAGGAGAGGCCAUUGAGUGCUGAUGGCUUCUGUCGUAUAUCGGA
RNAcentral lists this long non-coding RNA (1364 nucleotides) under Ananas comosus (pineapple). RNAcentral describes it as "long non-coding RNA (ACOM_LNC034110)". Lineage: Eukaryota; Viridiplantae; Streptophyta; Magnoliopsida; Poales; Bromeliaceae. The record is from RNAcentral.